This is an RNA transcript of Heterocephalus glaber (naked mole-rat), 1254 nucleotides long. It is a transcript of the gene named ATP synthase F1 subunit delta, with no coding region annotated. The record is from RefSeq and is a predicted model, not a curated record. Lineage: Eukaryota; Metazoa; Chordata; Mammalia; Rodentia; Bathyergidae.
UCAGGAUGGUCUUGAACUCGAAGUGAUCCUCUUGCCUCAGCUUUCCCAAUGCUGGGAUUACAGGCGUGUGCCACCCCGCCCGGGACCUGUCACUUUUUAAUACACUACAGAUCAGCUUAUGAUUGACAAAUAAUAAGCGCUCUCUUCACCACCCUAGAGUACCCUGUUUUUGCUUCACAAAUGUCUGCAGCGCCUGGCAUCCAGUGAACGUCCUGAAACAACCAUGGAGCUCGGGUGGACCCCUCUUCGCACAAGCAUCGAGGGCCACAGUUGCCGAAAAAUGUAAUCGUCCACCGCAAGAAUUUCCAACCCUAGCGAGGGUCCGAAGAAAACUACAACUCCCAGAUGGCUCUCGCGCGGGGCUCUGCGUUCUCGUCAUCGACUGUGCGCGGCCCGGCCGGAGUCGUACUGCACGCGUGCGCGCUCAAAGGGACUGCUCCUCCCAGAAGUCCCCGCACGUCGUCCUCCUCGCCCUCCAGGCCACUUCUCCCGCCGUUGCCCGUUGUCUGCUGCCGCCGUUGUUCGUCUACCAUCGCUUCCAUGCUGUCUGCCACACUGCUCCGCCGUCUUGGCCUGGGCCACCUCGUGCGCCAGGCGCGUGCCUACGCCGAGGCUGCCUCUGCCCCGGCUCCCGCCGCCGGUCCCGCCCAGAUGUCCUUCACCUUCGCCUCCCCUACACAGGUGUUCUUCAACCGUGCCAACGUGCGGCAGGUGGACGUCCCCACACUGACUGGAGCCUUUGGCAUCCUGGCAUCCCACGUGCCCACUCUACAGGUCCUACGGCCAGGGCUGGUUGUGGUCCACGCUGAAGAUGGCACGACUACUAAGUACUUUGUGAGCAGUGGAUCUGUCACAGUGAACGCUGACUCCUCCGUACAGUUACUGGCUGAAGAGGCAGUGACACUGGACAUGUUGGACCUGGGGACGGCCAGGGCAAAUCUGGAGAAGGCGCAGUCGGAACUGUCCGGGGCUGCGGAUGAGGCCUCACGAGCAGAGAUCCAAAUCCGAAUCGAAGCCAACGAGGCCCUGGUGAAGGCCCUCGAGUAGGCGGGUGCGUGCCCCUCAUCGCCAGGGAAGCAGGCCAGGCCAGGGAUGUCCCAGGGGCUUGCUGACCAGGGGCCUGUCAUCUGGUCGGGUCUCCCGACAGCCACCCACUUCCCUGCGCAGUCUGCCUUGGAGACCUGCCUGCUCCAGCCACCUCCACAGAAGAGCUACCCCGGCUCCUAUUCCCCUAUUAAAGACAAGGAAUCCCGA